Molecule: ribosomal RNA, 519 nt
Filed under: uncultured bacterium
Lineage: Bacteria
Description: bacterial SSU rRNA
Rfam family: Archaeal small subunit ribosomal RNA
Source: RNAcentral
AACCUCCGCAAUGUGAGAAAUCGCGACGGGGGGAUCCCAAGUGCCAUUCUUAACGGGAUGGCUUUUCAUUAGUGUAAAAAGCUUUUAGAAUAAGAGCUGGGCAAGACCGGUGCCAGCCGCCGCGGUAACACCGGCAGCUCGAGUGGUAGCUGUUUUUAUUGGGCCUAAAGCGUUCGUAGCCGGUUUGAUAAGUCUUUGGUGAAAGCUUGUAGCUUAACUAUAAGAAUUGCUGGAGAUACUAUCAGACUUGAAGUCGGGAGAGGUUAGAGGUACUACCGGGGUAGGGUGAAAUCCUAUAAUCCUGGGAGGACCACCUGUGGCGAAGGCGUCUAACUGGAACGAUCUUGACGGUGAGUAACGAAAGCCAGGGCGCGAACCGGAUUAGAUACCCGGGUAGUCCUGGCCGUAAACGAUGUGGACUUGGUGUUGGAAUGGCUUUGAGUUGUUCCGGUGCCGAAGGGAAGCUGUUAAGUCCACCGCCUGGGAAGUACGGUCGCAAGACUGAAACUUAAAGGAAUU